Xiphophorus hellerii (green swordtail) is the source of this 1165-nucleotide long non-coding RNA. RefSeq lists it as uncharacterized. The transcript is spliced from 2 exons. The record is from RefSeq and is a predicted model, not a curated record. Lineage: Eukaryota; Metazoa; Chordata; Actinopteri; Cyprinodontiformes; Poeciliidae.
UUGAUCUCAUUUCUUCAUGAUUUUGAUUUAUUUCUCUGCUCUGUUUGAAGGUCAGCUGGCUUACCUGAACAGGUGUUUACAGUAGAGCAAAAUUACCUAUACAGGUGUUGGUUGUUAGCAGUAGAGAAAACAUACCUGUACAGGUGUUAAUCAUAGAGUAAAAAUAAUUGUAUAGGUGUUAAUAGUAGAGGAAAUAUCCUGUACAGGUGUUAGUUAUUAACAGAGUAAACAUAACUACAGGUGUUGAUAUUAGAAUAUUAUUACCUUUACAGGUGUUAAUAAUACACCAAAACAUUCUGUGCAGGAGUUAAUUGAUAGUAUUAGAGCAGAAUUACCUUUUCAGGUGUUAAUGAUGUAGCUAGUUUACCUGUUCAGGUGUUAAUGAGGUAGCUAGUUUACCUGUCCAGGUGUUAGUGAGGUAGCUAGUUUACCUGUUCAGAUCUUAAUGAUGCAGCUAGUCUACCUGUUCACCUGUUAAUGAGGUAGCUAGUUUAUCUGUCCAGGUGUUAGUGAGGUAGCUAGUUUACCUGUUCAGGUUUUAAUGAUGUAGCUAGUUUACCUGUCCAGGUGUUAAUGAGGUAGCUAGUUUACCUGUCCAGGUGUUAAUGAGGUAGCUAGUUUACCUGUCCAGGUGUUAGUGAGGUAGCUAGUUUACCUGUUCAGGUUUUAAUGAUGUAGCUAGUUUACCUGUCCAGGUGUUAAUGAGGUAGCUAGUUUACCUGUCCAGGUGUUAGUGAGGUAGCUAGUUUACCUGUCCAGGUGUUAAUGAGGUAGCUAGUUUACCUGUCCAGGUGUUAGUGAGGUAGCUAGUUUACCUGUCCAGGUGUUAGUGAGGUAGCUAGUUUACCUGUCCAGGUGUUAGUGAGGUAGCUAGUUUACCUGUCCAGGUGUUAGUGAGGUAGCUAGUUUACCUGUCCAGGUGUAACUCGUGUAUCUGGUACAAUCCUGCCUCAUCUGUUUGCUAACGGUUAAUAUUUCAGGUAUUUCCUUCCAACAGUCUGGAUUUGAUUCAUUUCACCUGCUUAAGAUUUUAAUUUCCGCUGUUUUAAAGUGAAUCAUGAACCGGAGUUUCACUGAAAAUGUUUCUUAUCUUAUCUUCCUGUAAUCUCAGUGAGUGAAGUUCAGAUCUUUAUCUUGAUCAAACUUUAAGAGACAAAUGAGCGAA